GACGAACGCUGGCGGCGUGCUUAACACAUGCAAGUCGAACGGAAAGGCCCUGCUUUUGUGGGGUGCUCGAGUGGCGAACGGGUGAGUAACACGUGAGUAACCUGCCCUUGACUUUGGGAUAACUUCAGGAAACUGGGGCUAAUACCGGAUAGGAGCUCCUGCUGCAUGGUGGGGGUUGGAAAGUUUCGGCGGUGGGGGAUGGACUCGCGGCUUAUCAGCUUGUUGGUGGGGUAGUGGCUUACCAAGGCUUUGACGGGUAGCCGGCCUGAGAGGGUGACCGGCCACAUUGGGACUGAGGUACGGCCCAGACUCCUACGGGAGGCAGCAGGGGGGAAUAUUGCACAAUGGGCGGAAGCCUGAUGCAGCAACGCCGCGUGCGGGAUGACGGCCUUCGGGUUGUAAACCGCUUUCGCCUGUGACGAAGCGUGAGUGACGGUAAUGGGUAAAGAAGCACCGGCUAACUACGUG
Molecule: ribosomal RNA, 468 nt
Filed under: uncultured bacterium
Lineage: Bacteria
Description: partial 16S ribosomal RNA
Rfam family: Bacterial small subunit ribosomal RNA
Source: RNAcentral